This 468-nucleotide ribosomal RNA is filed under the name uncultured bacterium. RNAcentral's name for it is "partial 16S ribosomal RNA". It matches the Rfam family "Bacterial small subunit ribosomal RNA", at positions 28 to 507 of the family's 1533-position model. The record is from RNAcentral.
GACGAACGCUGGCGGCGUGCUUAACACAUGCAAGUCGAACGGAAAGGCCCUGCUUUUGUGGGGUGCUCGAGUGGCGAAAGGGUGAGUAACACGUGAGUAACCUGCCCUUGACUUUGGGAUAACUUCAGGAAACUGGGGCUAAUACCGGAUAGGAGCUCCUGCUGCAUGGUGGGGGUUGGAAAGUUUCGGCGGUUGGGGAUGGACUCGCGGCUUAUCAGCUUGUUGGUGGGGUGGUGGCUUACCAAGGCUUUGACGGGUAGCCGGCCUGAGAGGGUGACCGGCCACAUUGGGACUGAGAUACGGCCCAGACUCCUACGGGAGGCAGCAGUGGGGAAUAUUGCACAAUGGGCGGAAGCCUGAUGCAGCAACGCCGCGUGCGGGAUGACGGCCUUCGGGUUGUAAACCGCUUUCGCCUGUGACGAAGCGUGAGUGACGGUAAUGGGUAAAGAAGCACCGGCUAACUACGUG